Molecule: long non-coding RNA, 345 nt
Organism: Physella acuta
Lineage: Eukaryota; Metazoa; Mollusca; Gastropoda; Physidae
Source: RefSeq, a predicted model, not a curated record
UGUACUUAACUAUAUCACUGUCAAUCGUGUUAUUACACACUUGUAUAAAGGAUACAACUGGAGUAUGUGACGCUGGCUGGUUCGGCUCUAGGUGUCAGUUUAAAUGUCGCUGUGUCAACAACCAAUGUGAUGUUGACGGAAAGUGUACAGGAGGGUCUAUGUGUGACAGGGGCUGGUUUGGUCAUCUAUGUCAAUACGGUGAUCUCGCUACUGUACAGACAGGAACCACAGUGUCAAACAAUACAUUAACAGAUGGCGAUGACUUGACGUGUGCAAGUGUUAAGACAUUUACUGUGUCGUGGGAGAUAGCUUAUUAUGUCUCGUGGCUUAGAGUUGUUUUCGAUA